AAAUAACUCCCCACUCUCCCCUCUUUGUCCGUAUUUCAGGGUUAUCAAUCCUGCAGUUUAAGUAGGUUAUAAAUGGUUUCUUGCUGACAACCUCAAGAACGCAUAUCAGACUUCCCAGUAUCAUCAUCGCACUCCCUCAUUUGGCAUCCCAAAACUUGCAUCACAGAUAUCCUAUUUUCUUGAUUCUUGCUCCGAAUAAAACUGGGUUUCUUUUCGUUCUUCGGCAUCAUGGAUUCUUCUUCGGGAUCAGAAUUUGAUUAUUUGUUCAAGUUAUUGAUGAUUCGGGAUUCAUGCUUUGGUUGUUUAAUUUCGACGGCAGUAACCUGCGUAUAAUCUGCUGAUAUCUAGGUUUUGUUCAUACAUCGCUUACAAGAGGCAUGUUGUUUCUCACUUUCUCUUGAUGGACCAGUGGUGACUGCAUUAGGCUUUGGGGAUGAGCUUGGAGUUGUCACACACUCUUCUCCAUCCCUCCCUUUGAAUGAGCAAAUGCUAACGUUUGAUAUUCUUAACCUCCCUCAAAAGGCUAUUAUUGAAUGAACUACCUUCCAUGAUGAUAGACUAAUGUGUGAAGCUAGAACGAAGUAUAAAUACAAUAAACAAGUUUUUGACCAGAAAGCAAGUUCGAUGAUCGAAAAUAUGUUGGAUCUGGUGCUUGUCCAAAUCAUGGUGGGAUUCAAUUUGUCACAUAUGUAAUCAUGGUAUGUAUGUAUGUAUGUGUUGCUUGAAAAGCAGGUGAUGGACUAAUGAUCUCAAGGAUCGAGCGAGUCAAUGACAAUGAGGGUUGCCCUGUUUUGUUGGUUCGAACUGACCAACCUAAUUGAGGUGUUAUGUGUACAAAUCAUACUUUUUGUGUCACCAUUGUUGAUAUUACAACCUAAAGACAUUCGUUUUGUGACCACUUUCUUGGUUUCAUUUAGAAAAUUCGGGGGUGGAGCUAUAGUCGGUGUAGUUUUUAAAUAGCUUUAUUUAUUUUCUGUCUGUUGCAAAAUACACCACAUCAAACCAUAGUUACUGCUUGGCUCAAGUGGGUUCCACAGGAACCCGUGAAAACACCAGUGGAGUGAAACUUAAAUAAAAAUGGCAGAUGCAAUAGCAAUAGAUACAGGUUGCUUGGCGACUGCACCAGGCAAACUUUUUUCAUCCAUAGCAGGUACUUU
This 1157-nucleotide long non-coding RNA is filed under the name Helianthus annuus (common sunflower). The record is from RNAcentral. Lineage: Eukaryota; Viridiplantae; Streptophyta; Magnoliopsida; Asterales; Asteraceae.